This 64-nucleotide transfer RNA is filed under the name Ornithodoros waterbergensis. RNAcentral describes it as "Ornithodoros sp. 4 BJM-2014 tRNA-Ser". Lineage: Eukaryota; Metazoa; Arthropoda; Arachnida; Ixodida; Argasidae. The record is from RNAcentral.
AGACAUUUUAACUAUAUAAGUAUAUAUUUUGAAAAUAUAAAAAAGAUUUUUUUCUAAAUGUCUU